UGGGGAAUAUUGCACAAUGGGGGAAGCCCUGAUGCAGCGACGCCGCGUGAGCGAAGAAGUAUUUCGAUAUGUAAAGCUCCAUCAGCAGGGAAGAAGAUGACGGUACCUGACUAAGAAGCCCCGGCUAACUACGUGCCAGCAGCCGCGGUAAUACGUAGGGGGCAAGCGUUAUCCGGAUUUACUGGGUGUAAAGGGAGCGUAGACGGCGUAUCAAGUCUGAUGUGAAAGGCAUGGGCUCAACCCGUGGACUGCAUUGGAAACUGGUAUGCUUGAGUGCCGGAGGGGUAAGCGGAAUUCCUAGUGUAGCGGUGAAAUGCGUAGAUAUUAGGAGGAACACCAGUGGCGAAGGCGGCUUACUGGACGGUAACUGACGUUGAGGCUCGAAAGCGUGGGGAGCAAACAGGAUUAGAUACC
RNAcentral lists this ribosomal RNA (414 nucleotides) under uncultured bacterium. RNAcentral describes it as "bacterial SSU rRNA". It matches the Rfam family "Bacterial small subunit ribosomal RNA", at positions 355 to 786 of the family's 1533-position model. The record is from RNAcentral.